This 327-nucleotide ribosomal RNA is filed under the name uncultured eukaryote. Its description in RNAcentral is "partial 18S ribosomal RNA". It matches the Rfam family "Eukaryotic small subunit ribosomal RNA", at positions 1470 to 1796 of the family's 1831-position model. The record is from RNAcentral.
CCCUUAGAUGUUCUGGGCCGCACGCGCGCUACACUGAUUCAUGCAACAAGUUUUGUCCUUGGCUGAUAGGCCUGGGUAAUCUUUGAACGUGAAUCGUGAUGGGGAUAGAUGAUUGCAAUUAUUCAUCUUCAACGAGGAAUUCCUAGUAAACGCAAGUCAUCAGCUUGCAUUGAUUACGUCCCUGCCCUUUGUACACACCGCCCGUCGCACCUACCGAUUGAAUUGUCCGGUGAAAUCUUCGGAUCUGAGAGAUGUCUGAUUAAUUUCGGACGCCUUUUGGAAAAGUUGUUUAAACCUUACCAUUUAGAGGAAGGUGAAGUCGUAACA